Molecule: ribosomal RNA, 253 nt
Filed under: uncultured bacterium
Lineage: Bacteria
Description: partial 16S ribosomal RNA
Rfam family: Bacterial small subunit ribosomal RNA
Source: RNAcentral
UACGAAGGGGGCUAGCGUUGCUCGGAAUCACUGGGCGUAAAGGGUGCGUAGGCGGGUCUUUAAGUCAGGGGUGAAAUCCUGGAGCUCAACUCCAGAACUGUCCUUGAUACUGAAGAUCUUGAGUUCGGGAGAGGUGAGUGGAACUGCGAGUGUAGAGGUGAAAUUCGUAGAUAUUCGCAAGAACACCAGUGGCGAAGGCGGCUCACUGGCCCGAUACUGACGCUGAGGCACGAAAGCGUGGGGAGCAAACAGG